AAAAACAAACAAAACUUUCAACAACGGAUCUCUUGGUUCUCGCAUCGAUGAAGAGCGCAGCGAAAUGCGAUACCUAGUGUGAAUUGCAGCCAUCGUGAAUCAUCGAGUUCUUGAACGCACAUUGCGCCCCUCGGCAUUCCGGGGGGCAUGCCUGUUUGAGCGUCGUUUCCAUCUUGCGCGUGCGCAGAGUUGGGGGAGCGGAGCGGACGACGUGUAAAGAGCGUCGGAGCUGCGACUCGCCUGAAAGGGAGCGAAGCUGGCCGAGCGAACUAGACUUUUUUUCAGGGACGCUUGGCGGCCGAGAGCGAGUGUUGCGAGACAACAAAAAGCUCGACCUCAAAUCAGGUAGGAAUACCCGCUGAACUUAAGCAUAUCAAUAAGCGGAGGAAAAGAAACCAACAGGGAUUGCCUCAGUAGCGGCGAGUGAAGCGGCAAGAGCUCAGAUUUGAAAUCGUGCUUUGCGGCACGAGUUGUAGAUUGCAGGUUGGAGUCUGUGUGGAAGGCGGUGUCCAAGUCCCUUGGAACAGGGCGCCCAGGAGGGUGAGAGCCCCGUGGGAUGCCGGCGGAAGCAGUGAGGCCCUUCUGACGAGUCGAGUUGUUUGGGAAUGCAGCUCCAAGCGGGUGGUAAAUUCCAUCUAAGGCUAAAUACUGGCGAGAGACCGAUAGCGAACAAGUACUGUGAAGGAAAGAUGAAAAGCACUUUGAAAAGAGAGUGAAACAGCACGUGAAAUUGUUGAAAGGGAAGGGUAUUGCGCCCGACAUGGGGAUUGCGCACCGCUGCCUCUCGUGGGCGGCGCUCUGGGCUUUCCCUGGGCCAGCAUCGGUUCUUGCUGCAGGAGAAGGGGUUCUGGAACGUGGCUCUUCGGAGUGUUAUAGCCAGGGCCAGAUGCUGCGUGCGGGGACCGAGGACUGCGGCCG
Molecule: ribosomal RNA, 918 nt
Filed under: Pichia kudriavzevii
Lineage: Eukaryota; Fungi; Ascomycota; Pichiomycetes; Pichiales; Pichiaceae
Description: eukaryotic LSU rRNA
Rfam family: Eukaryotic large subunit ribosomal RNA (bases 332-918)
Source: RNAcentral